GUUUGAUCAUGGCUCAGGACGAACGCUGGCGGCGUGCCUAAUACAUGCAAGUCGAGCGAGCUGAAUUCAAAGAUUCCUUCGGGAUGAUUUGUUGGACGCUAGCGGCGGAUGGGUGAGUAACACGUGGGCAAUCUGCCCUAAAGACUGGGAUACCACUUGGAAACAGGUGCUAAUACCGGAUAACAACAUGAAUCGCAUGAUUCAAGUUUGAAAGGCGGCGCAAGCUGUCACUUUAGGAUGAGCCCGCGGCGCAUUAGCUAGUUGGUGGGGUAAAGGCCUACCAAGGCAAUGAUGCGUAGCCGAGUUGAGAGACUGAUCGGCCACAUUGGGACUGAGACACGGCCCAAACUCCUACGGGAGGCAGCAGUAGGGAAUCUUCCACAAUGGACGCAAGUCUGAUGGAGCAACGCCGCGUGAGUGAAGAAGGUUUUCGGAUCGUAAAGCUCUGUUGUUGGUGAAGAAGGAUAGAGGCAGUAACUGGUCUUUAUUUGACGGUAAUCAACCAGAAAGUCACGGCUAACUACGUGCCAGCAGCCGCGGUAAUACGUAGGUGGCAAGCGUUGUCCGGAUUUAUUGGGCGUAAAGCGAGCGCAGGCGGAAUGAUAAGUCUGAUGUGAAAGCCCACGGCUCAACCGUGGAACUGCAUCGGAAACUGUCAUUCUUGAGUGCAGAAGAGGAGAGUGGAACUCCAUGUGUAGCGGUGGAAUGCGUAGAUAUAUGGAAGAACACCAGUGGCGAAGGCGGCUCUCUGGUCUGCAACUGACGCUGAGGCUCGAAAGCAUGGGUAGCGAACAGGAUUAGAUACCCUGGUAGUCCAUGCCGUAAACGAUGAGCGCUAGGUGUUGGGGACUUUCCGGUCCUCAGUGCCGCAGCAAACGCAUUAAGCGCUCCGCCUGGGGAGUACGACCGCAAGGUUGAAACUCAAAGGAAUUGACGG
Molecule: ribosomal RNA, 937 nt
Filed under: uncultured bacterium
Lineage: Bacteria
Description: bacterial SSU rRNA
Rfam family: Bacterial small subunit ribosomal RNA
Source: RNAcentral